UACGUAGGGUGCGAGCGUUAAUCGGAAUUACUGGGCGUAAAGCGUGCGCAGGCGGUUCGUUAAGUUCGUCGUGAAAGCCCCGGGCUCAACCUGGGAACUGCGAUGGAAACUGGCGGGCUUGAGUAUGGCAGAGGGGGGUGGAAUUCCGCGUGUAGCAGUGAAAUGCGUAGAGAUGUGGAGGAAUACCGAUGGCGAAGGCAGCCCCCUGGGAUAACACUGACGCUCAUGCACGAAAGCGUGGGGAGCAAACAGG
RNAcentral lists this ribosomal RNA (253 nucleotides) under uncultured bacterium. Its description in RNAcentral is "partial 16S ribosomal RNA". It matches the Rfam family "Bacterial small subunit ribosomal RNA", at positions 524 to 776 of the family's 1533-position model. The record is from RNAcentral.